CCUACGGGAGGCUGCAGUGAGGAAUAUUGGUCAAUGGGCGUAAGCCUGAACCAGCCAAGUCGCGUGAGGGAUGAAGGUUCUAUGGAUCGUAAACCUCUUUUAUAAGGGAAUAAAGAGUGGGACGUGUCCUCUUUUGUAUGUACCUUAUGAAUAAGGAUCGGCUAACUCCGUGCCAGCAGCCGCGGUAAUACGGAGGAUGCGAGCGUUAUCCGGAUUUAUUGGGUUUAAAGGGUGCGUAGGCGGAUCGUUAAGUCAGUGGUCAAAUCGAGGGGCUCAACCCCUUCCCGCCAUUGAAACUGGCGAUCUUGAGUGGAAGAGAAGUAUGCGGAAUGCGUGGUGUAGCGGUGAAAUGCAUAGAUAUCGCGCAGAACCCCGAUUGCGAAGGCAGCAUGCCGGCUUCCGACUGACGCUGAAGCACGAAAGCGUGGGGAUCGAACAGGAUUAGAUACCCCAGUAGUC
RNAcentral lists this ribosomal RNA (459 nucleotides) under uncultured bacterium. RNAcentral's name for it is "partial 16S ribosomal RNA". It matches the Rfam family "Bacterial small subunit ribosomal RNA", at positions 338 to 795 of the family's 1533-position model. The record is from RNAcentral.